CCCUUAGAUGUUCUGGGCCGCACGCGCGCUACACUGACGAAUGCAACGAGCUUAUAACCUUGGCCGAAAGGUCUGGGUAAUCUCCAAAUUUCGUCGUGAUGGGGAUAGAUUAUUGCAAUUAUUAAUCUUCAACGAGGAAUGCCUAGUAAGCGCAAGUCAUCAGCUUGCGUUGAUUACGUCCCUGCCCUUUGUACACACCGCCCGUCGCUCCUACCGAUUGAAUGGUCCGGUGAAGCGUUCGGACCGUGGCCUUUGGACGGUUCGCCGCCGGCGACGCUGGUAGAAGAUCUUUAAACCUUAUCAUUUAGAGGAAGGAGAAGUCGUAACA
This 328-nucleotide ribosomal RNA is filed under the name uncultured eukaryote. Its description in RNAcentral is "partial 18S ribosomal RNA". It matches the Rfam family "Eukaryotic small subunit ribosomal RNA", at positions 1470 to 1796 of the family's 1831-position model. The record is from RNAcentral.